UCGAGAAUCUUCGGCAAUGGGCGAAAGCCUGACCGAGCAAUGCCGCGUGCGGGAUGAAGGCCCUCGGGUUGUAAACCGCGAAAGUGAGGAGGAAGGGCCCGUGCAGAGCGGGUCUUGACCGAUCCACAGUAAGGACGGGCUAAGUUCGUGCCAGCAGCCGCGGUAACACGAACCGUCCGAACGUUAUUCGGAAUCAUUGGGCUUAAAGGGUGCGUAGGCGGCGCUCUAAGUCGGGUGUGAAAUCCUUCGGCUCAACCGAAGAAUUGCGCCCGAUACUGGGGUGCUAGAGGGAGACAGGGGUGAGCGGAACUGAUGGUGGAGCGGUGAAAUGCGUUGAUAUCAUCAGGAACACCGGUGGCGAAAGCGGCUCACUGGGUCUCUUCUGACGCUGAGGCACGAAAGCCAGGGUAGCGAACGGGAUUAGAUACCCCCGUAGUCC
RNAcentral lists this ribosomal RNA (439 nucleotides) under uncultured prokaryote. Its description in RNAcentral is "bacterial SSU rRNA". It matches the Rfam family "Bacterial small subunit ribosomal RNA", at positions 355 to 796 of the family's 1533-position model. The record is from RNAcentral.